AACGCACGAGACCUGCGGACCUGCGGAGGGAUCAUUAAUGAGAAGCUGCCCCUCGUGGGUAGACCUCCCACCCUCUGUGAACUUACCUUUGUUGCUUUGGCAGGCCCGUCCCCUGGACCGCCGGCUUCGGCUGGCCCGUGCCUGCCAGAGGAUUCCAAACCCUGUCUGUCAGUGUUGUCUGAGUCUAUAUGAAAUCGUUAAAACUUUCAACAAUGGAUCUCUAGAUCGGAAGAGCACACG
RNAcentral lists this unclassified non-coding RNA (240 nucleotides) under soil metagenome. RNAcentral describes it as "partial contains 5.8S ribosomal RNA, internal transcribed spacer 2, and large subunit ribosomal RNA". The record is from RNAcentral.